GCCCUAGUGGCUUAGCCUUAAAAGCACCGGUCUUGUAAUCCGGCGACCGGGGUUUAAAAUCCCCCCUAGUGCC
Molecule: transfer RNA, 73 nt
Filed under: Alepocephalus longiceps
Lineage: Eukaryota; Metazoa; Chordata; Actinopteri; Alepocephaliformes; Alepocephalidae
Description: tRNA-Thr
Rfam family: tRNA
About the family: Transfer RNA (tRNA) molecules are approximately 80 nucleotides in length. Their secondary structure includes four short double-helical elements and three loops (D, anti-codon, and T loops).
Source: RNAcentral